CCUACGGGUGGCAGCAGUGGGGAAUAUUGCACAAUGGGGGGAACCCUGAUGCAGCAACGCCGCGUGAGUGAAGAAGUAUCUCGGUAUGUAAAGCUCUAUCAGCAGGGAAGAAAAUGACGGUACCUGACUAAGAAGCACCGGCUAAAUACGUGCCAGCAGCCGCGGUAAUACGUAUGGUGCAAGCGUUAUCCGGAUUUACUGGGUGUAAAGGGAGCGCAGGCGGCGCGGCAAGUCAGAUGUGAAAGCCCGGGGCUCAACCCCGGGACUGCAUUUGAAACUGCCGGGCUAGAGUGUCGGAGAGGCAAGUGGAAUUCCUAGUGUAGCGGUGAAAUGCGUAGAUAUUACGCAGAACUCCGAUUGCGAAGGCAGCAUACCGGCGCUCAACUGACGCUCAUGCACGAAAGUGUGGGUAUCGAACAGGAUUAGAUACCCGAGUAGUC
RNAcentral lists this ribosomal RNA (440 nucleotides) under uncultured bacterium. RNAcentral describes it as "partial 16S ribosomal RNA". It matches the Rfam family "Bacterial small subunit ribosomal RNA", at positions 338 to 795 of the family's 1533-position model. The record is from RNAcentral.